RNAcentral lists this transfer RNA (73 nucleotides) under Staphylococcus aureus. RNAcentral describes it as "tRNA-Ile". It matches the Rfam family "tRNA". From Rfam's summary of the family: Transfer RNA (tRNA) molecules are approximately 80 nucleotides in length. Lineage: Bacteria; Bacillati; Bacillota; Bacilli; Caryophanales; Staphylococcaceae. The record is from RNAcentral.
UGGGCCUAUAGCUCAGCUGGUUAGAGCGCACGCCUGAUAAGCGUGAGGUCGGUGGUUCGAGCACUUGACUCAA